Molecule: ribosomal RNA, 253 nt
Filed under: uncultured bacterium
Lineage: Bacteria
Description: partial 16S ribosomal RNA
Rfam family: Bacterial small subunit ribosomal RNA
Source: RNAcentral
GACGAGCCACACAAACGUUAUUCGGAAUUACUGGGCGUAAAGGGCGCGUAGGCGGCCCGCUAAGUCGAACGUGAAAUCCCCGGGCUCAACCCGGGAACUGCGUCCGAUACUGGCAGGCUUGAAUCCGGGAGAGGGAUGUGGAAUUCCAGGUGUAGCGGUGAAAUGCGUAGAUAUCUGGAGGAACACCGGUGGCGAAGGCGGCAUCCUGGACCGGUAUUGACGCUGAGGCGCGAAAGCCAGGGGAGCAAACGGG